Molecule: ribosomal RNA, 253 nt
Filed under: uncultured bacterium
Lineage: Bacteria
Description: partial 16S ribosomal RNA
Rfam family: Bacterial small subunit ribosomal RNA
Source: RNAcentral
UACAGAGGGUGCAAGCGUUGUUCGGAAUUAUUGGGCGUAAAGGGCGCGUAGGCGGUGCGGUAAGUCUGUAGUGAAAUCUCUGGGCUCAACUCAGAGUCUGCUAUAGAAACUGCCGUGCUUGAGUGUGGGAGAGGUGAGUGGAAUUCCCGGUGUAGCGGUGAGAUGCGUAGAUAUCGGGAGGAACACCUGUGGCGAAAGCGGCUCACUGGACCACAACUGACGCUGAGGCGCGAAAGCUAGGGGAGCAAACAGG